UACGAAGGGGGCUAGCGUUGUUCGGAAUUACUGGGCGUAAAGCGUGCGCAGGCGGCUUCUCAAGUCAGGGGUGAAAGCCCAGAGCUCAACUCUGGAAUUGCCUUUGAGACUGAGUGGCUUGAGUACGAGAGAGGUGAGUGGAAUUCCCGGUGUAGAGGUGAAAUUCGUAGAUAUCGGGAGGAACACCGGUGGCGAAGGCGGCGAUCUGGGUCGAUACUGACGCUGAGGUGCGAAAGCGUGGGGAGCAAACAGG
RNAcentral lists this ribosomal RNA (253 nucleotides) under uncultured bacterium. RNAcentral's name for it is "partial 16S ribosomal RNA". It matches the Rfam family "Bacterial small subunit ribosomal RNA", at positions 524 to 776 of the family's 1533-position model. The record is from RNAcentral.